RNAcentral lists this ribosomal RNA (426 nucleotides) under uncultured bacterium. RNAcentral describes it as "partial 16S ribosomal RNA". It matches the Rfam family "Bacterial small subunit ribosomal RNA", at positions 354 to 796 of the family's 1533-position model. The record is from RNAcentral.
GUGAGGAAUUUUCCGCAAUGGGCGAAAGCCUGACGGAGCAAUGCCGCGUGAAGGAUGAAGGCCUAUGGGUUGUAAACUUCUUUUCUUAGAGAAGAAUAUUGACGGUAUCUGAGGAAUAAGCAUCGGCUAACUCUGUGCCAGCAGCCGCGGUAAGACAGAGGAUGCAAGCGUUAUCCGGAAUGAUUGGGCGUAAAGCGUCUGUAGGUGGCUUCAAAAGUCUCCUGUCAAAGAUCAGGGCUUAACCCUGGGCCGGCAGGAGUAACUCUGAGGCUAGAGUUUGGUAGGGGCAGAGGGAAUUCCCGGUGGAGCGGUGAAAUGCGUAGAGAUCGGGAGGAACACCAAAGGCGAAAGCACUCUGCUGGGCCACAACUGACACUGAGAGACGAAAGCGAGGGGCGCAAAAGUGAUUAGAAACCCCUGUAGUCC